RNAcentral lists this ribosomal RNA (235 nucleotides) under uncultured bacterium. RNAcentral's name for it is "partial 16S ribosomal RNA". It matches the Rfam family "Bacterial small subunit ribosomal RNA", at positions 99 to 334 of the family's 1533-position model. The record is from RNAcentral.
CGGACGGGUGAGUAACGCGUGGGUAACCUGCCUCAUACAGGGGGAUAACGGUUAGAAAUGACUGCUAAUACCGCAUAAGCGCACAGUACCGCAUGGUACGGUGUGAAAAACUCCGGUGGUAUGAGAUGGACCCGCGUCUGAUUAGCUAGUUGGUGGGGUAACGGCCCACCAAGGCGACGAUCAGUAGCCGACCUGAGAGGGUGACCGCCCACAUUGGGACUGAGACACGGCCCAG